GUGUUCUGGUACAGAACACUGCCAGAACACUGUGGGAACAUUCCUGACUCUGCUCAGUGUGGGUGAGGCUACACUUGGAGAACAGUGCCUACUUCUGAGCUCUCCAGUUGUGGUGGUGCAUCUGCCCCUGCCCUCGGGACUGCUUUGUGAUUGCUGGAAUGGCUGUUAGGGAUUUGGCAUUUGUGUCAUGAGUUGGGCAGUGAAGCAUCCCUUGACCACACUGGAAACCUUUGCAUGGCUAAAGUGAAAGCAGCGCUGACCAUACCAGGAACUCCUGGUGCCUGGCUGAAGUGAAGGAUGGGAGUGUAACUAAGUCACUGUGCUGGAACCAAGAGAUCUCAGGAAUGAAAGCUGAAGGGACAUUCAUAUUCAUCUCCUUUUGCAAAGCUUAAGAUGUUUCUGGAGGCAGUGGAAAAGACAAACCAUCAGCCUUGUGCCAUCCUCCAUUGGGCAGCAGAGGGGACUGACAAGAUUGAUUGCAAGAACUGCCAUGGAGCAUGAAUCAAUUUGAAGCACAUGAAGAGUGAAGGAAGAGUGGAAGAAAUAUCUAGAAUAAUCCCUCCCAUAUAAAGUUGUUUAAUGGAUCGAGUAAGGACAAAUAGUUCCUGUAAAAAGAACAAGAGUAUUUGGAGUAUUACAGUGGUAUUGUAUUCAGUAACAUGCUUGGAAAGUGUGUGAUUCACCUCUAUUUUCAUACAAUGGGUUGGUUACCCUCUUUUAGUGCGUCCCACAUACCCCAAAACCAGGCUGAAAGCCGCACCCAGUUUUUGGCUAUGAACACCUGAAGGAGGCAAAGGUGAGUUUGUUCACUCUGUGCUUUCAGCUCCUUCAGUAAGUGGCCUUCAACUGUUUGCCAUCACUCUUCAAGCUGUCUUUAGGCAGUGGUUCUUCCAUAUGCACAAUAAAAGCAGAUCAUUUCCCUUUAGUUAUCUGGAGUCCCAUAAAGACAGAAAUUUUGGUGGGACUGAGUGUGUGCCAUGUGAUUUGUGUCUAAUGCUUUUGCUAUCUUUGGGCUUUCAAAGCUGACAGUGAGAGCUGACAGUAUGCUGCUGUUUUGGAAUUCAC
Long non-coding RNA from Passer domesticus (house sparrow), 1065 nucleotides. RefSeq lists it as uncharacterized. NCBI's taxonomy places the organism in Eukaryota, Metazoa, Chordata, Aves, Passeriformes, Passeridae. The transcript is spliced from 3 exons. The record is from RefSeq and is a predicted model, not a curated record.